Molecule: long non-coding RNA, 286 nt
Organism: Gopherus flavomarginatus (Mexican gopher tortoise)
Lineage: Eukaryota; Metazoa; Chordata; Testudines; Testudinidae
Exons: 2
Source: RefSeq, a predicted model, not a curated record
CAGAAAUAAGAAAUGUUGAAAUACAGGUGCCAGGAAAAGAAACAUUAGGCAUAAACAAGGGUGCUAAUGGUGAAACAUUAACAGAAGAUUGGUAAUAGUUAGUAAGGAAAUAAGAUAUGCAUGCCUAGCUCAGGUAAACUUAUCAGAUUCUGCUUCCUUUAUUAUCUUGUUAAGUUCUCGCCCUUUUAUCUGUAUAAAUAAGAUAGUUUGUGUCUUGCAUGGUGCUCACAUUAUCUGGGUGUUAUUAGCAAAGCGCUGUGCUAAUAAAACAGAGUGGUCUGACAAA